GACGAACGCUGGCGGCGUGCUUAACACAUGCGAGUCGAACGGAAAGGCCCUGCUUUUGUGGGGUGCUCGAGUGGCGAACGGGUGAGUAACACGUGAGUAACCUGCCCUUGACUUUGGGAUAACUUCAGGAAACUGGGGCUAAUACCGGAUAGGAGCUCCUGCUGCGUGGUGGGGGUUGGAAAGUUUCGGCGGUUGGGGAUGGACUCGCGGCUUAUCAGCUUGUUGGUGGGGUAGUGGCUUACCAAGGCUUUGACGGGUAGCCGGCCUGAGAGGGUGACCGGCCACAUUGGGACUGAGAUACGGCCCAGACUCCUACGGGAGGCAGCAGUGGGGAAUAUUGCACAAUGGGCGGAAGCCUGAUGCAGCAACGCCGCGUGCGGGAUGACGGCCUUCGGGUUGUAAACCGCUUUCGCCUGUGACGAAGCGUGAGUGACGGUAAUGGGUAAAGAAGCACCGGCUAACUACGUG
RNAcentral lists this ribosomal RNA (468 nucleotides) under uncultured bacterium. Its description in RNAcentral is "partial 16S ribosomal RNA". It matches the Rfam family "Bacterial small subunit ribosomal RNA", at positions 28 to 507 of the family's 1533-position model. The record is from RNAcentral.